AGUGAACGCUGGCGGCAGGCCUAACACAUGCAAGUCGAGCGGCAGUGGGUUCCCGCGAGGGGAUGCCGGCGAGCGGCGGACGGGUGAGGAACACAUCGGAAUCUGCCUGGUUGUGGGGGAUAACGUAGGGAAACUUACGCUAAUACCGCAUGCGACCCUGAGUCGACGGACUGGGGGUGAAAGUGAGGGACCUUCGGGCCUCACGCGUACCAGAUGAGCCGAUGUCGGAUUAGCUAGUUGGCGGGGUAACGG
RNAcentral lists this ribosomal RNA (252 nucleotides) under uncultured bacterium. Its description in RNAcentral is "partial 16S ribosomal RNA". It matches the Rfam family "Bacterial small subunit ribosomal RNA", at positions 28 to 263 of the family's 1533-position model. The record is from RNAcentral.